AUUGAACGCUGGCGGCAGGCCUAACACAUGCAAGUCGAACGGUAACAGGAAACAGCUUGCUGUUUCGCUGACGAGUGGCGGACGGGUGAGUAAUGUCUGGGAAACUGCCUGAUGGAGGGGGAUAACUACUGGAAACGGUAGCUAAUACCGCAUAACGUCGCAAGACCAAAGAGGGGGACCUUCGGGCCUCUUGCCAUCGGAUGUGCCCAGAUGGGAUUAGCUAGUAGGUGGGGUAACGGCUCACCUAGGCGACGAUCCCUAGCUGGUCUGAGAGGAUGACCAGCCACACUGGAACUGAGACACGGUCCAGACUCCUACAGGAGGCAGCAGUGGGGAAUAUUGCACAAUGGGCGCAAGCCUGAUGCAGCCAUGCCGCGUGUAUGAAGAAGGCCUUCGGGUUGUAAAGUACUUUCAGCGGGGAGGAAGGGAGUAAAGUUAAUACCUUUGCUCAUUGACGUUACCCGCAGAAGAAGCACCGGCUAACUCC
Molecule: ribosomal RNA, 487 nt
Filed under: uncultured bacterium
Lineage: Bacteria
Description: bacterial SSU rRNA
Rfam family: Bacterial small subunit ribosomal RNA
Source: RNAcentral